This 466-nucleotide ribosomal RNA is filed under the name uncultured bacterium. RNAcentral describes it as "partial 16S ribosomal RNA". It matches the Rfam family "Bacterial small subunit ribosomal RNA", at positions 28 to 505 of the family's 1533-position model. The record is from RNAcentral.
GACGAACGCUGGCGGCGUGCUUAACACAUGCAAGUCGAACGGAAAGGCCCUGCUUUUGUGGGGUGCUCGAGUGGCGAACGGGUGAGUAACACGUGAGUAACCUGCCCUUGACUUUGGGAUAACUUCAGGAAACUGGGGCUAAUACCGGAUAGGAGCUCCUGCUGCAUGGUGGGGGUUGGAAAGUUUCGGCGGUUGGGGAUGGACUCGCGGCUUAUCAGCUUGUUGGUGGGGUAGUGGCUUACCAAGGCUUUGACGGGUAGCCGGCCUGAGAGGGUGACCGGCCACAUUGGGACUGAGAUACGGCCCAGACGCCUACGGGAGGCAGCAGUGGGGAAUAUUGCACAAUGGGCGGAAGCCUGAUGCAGCAACGCCGCGUGCGGGAUGACGGCCUUCGGGUUGUAAACCGCUUUCGCCUGUGACGAAGCGUGAGUGACGGUAAUGGGUAAAGAAGCACCGGCUAACUACG